RNAcentral lists this ribosomal RNA (642 nucleotides) under Vertigo kushiroensis. RNAcentral describes it as "eukaryotic LSU rRNA". The stretch from base 368 to 642 matches the Rfam family "Eukaryotic large subunit ribosomal RNA", at positions 1 to 269 of the family's 3401-position model. The record is from RNAcentral. Lineage: Eukaryota; Metazoa; Mollusca; Gastropoda; Stylommatophora; Vertiginidae.
CGCCCGUCUGAGGGUCGGCUAGACCCAAAGCAAUCGUCUCCUAGAAUCGGGAUCCCGCGGCAGAGCGAUCCUUCACGGACUUCAACGUGUCGGACGGACCCUGCCGCAUGCGACCCGCGGAGGCGCCCUGGGCCCUCGAGGACUCUUCGGGGUCCCCGUGGCCUCAAAUUCAUGCAGCGCCGUCACUGCUCUUCGACCCGCUUGGCAUCGACGGCUCCGCCGCACGGCAGGACUCGGAUUGCGUAGCUUUCUCUCAAACGAGCCUGCCCGCAGCUCUUUAAGGCGACCGCGCGUUGUCAUCCGGGUGGAGCGAGCGCUGGUGACGCGCCCCUCUGCCAAAUGACAGGAGAUGAUCCUCUCACAUCUCCGACCUCAGAUCGGACGAGAUUACCCGCUGAAUUUAAGCAUAUAACUAAGCGGAGGAAAAGAAACUAACAAGGAUUUCCCCAGUAACGGCGAGUGAAGCGGAAAGAGCCCAGCACCGAAUCCCUCAGUGUCAUGCUGACGGGAACUGUGGUGUGAGGGACGCCACCAGUCGCACCAGAGGGUACCGAAGUCCUCCUGAUCGGGGCUUCACCCAGAGUGGGUGUAAGGCCUUUGCUGGUACCUCUCGGUGCGGCCGCGAGCGUCUCAGGAGUCGGG